UACGUAGGGUGCAAGCGUUGUCCGGAAUUAUUGGGCGUAAAGAGCUCGUAGGCGGUUUGUCGCGUCUGCUGUGAAAAUCCAGGGCUUAACCCUGGACCUGCAGUGGGUACGGGCAGACUGGAGUGCGGUAGGGGAGAUCGGAAUUCCUGGUGUAGCGGUGAAAUGCGCAGAUAUCAGGAGGAACACCGGUGGCGAAGGCGGAUCUCUGGGCCGUAACUGACGCUGAGGAGCGAAAGCGUGGGGAUCAAACAGG
Molecule: ribosomal RNA, 253 nt
Filed under: uncultured bacterium
Lineage: Bacteria
Description: partial 16S ribosomal RNA
Rfam family: Bacterial small subunit ribosomal RNA
Source: RNAcentral